Molecule: ribosomal RNA, 253 nt
Filed under: uncultured bacterium
Lineage: Bacteria
Description: partial 16S ribosomal RNA
Rfam family: Bacterial small subunit ribosomal RNA
Source: RNAcentral
UACGUAGGGCGCGAGCGUUGUCCGGAUUUAUUGGGCGUAAAGAGCUCGUAGGCGGCUUGUCGCGUCGUCCGUGAAAACCUGUGGCUCAACUGCAGGCUUGCGGUCGAUACGGGCAGGCUAGAGUUCGGUAGGGGAGACUGGAAUUCCUGGUGUAGCGGUGAAAUGCGCAGAUAUCAGGAGGAACACCAGUGGCGAAGGCGGUGGUCUGGGCCGGAACUGACGCUGAGGAGCGAAAGCGUGGGUAGCAAACAGG